UCUGGUGAUUAUGGCAAAGAGGUCACACCUGUUCCCAUGCCGAACACAGAAGUUAAGCUCUUUAGCGCUGAUGGUAGUCGGGCUUACGUUCCGCUAGAGUAAGACAUUGCCAGGC
This is a non-coding RNA of Staphylococcus simiae, 115 nucleotides long. NCBI's taxonomy places the organism in Bacteria, Bacillati, Bacillota, Bacilli, Caryophanales, Staphylococcaceae. The record is from Rfam.